GACGAACGCUGGCGGCGUGCUUAACACAUGCAAGUCGAACGGAAAGGCCCUGCUUUUGUUGGUUUCUCGAUUGGCGAACGGGUGAGUAACACGUGAGUAACCUGCCCUUGUCUUUGGGAUAACUUCAGGAAACUGGGGCUAAUACCGGAUAGGAUCUCCUGCUGCAUGGUGGGGGUUGGAAAGUUUCGGCGGUUGGGGAUGGACUCGCGGCUUAUCAGCUUGUUGGUGUGGUAGUGGCUUACCAAGGAUUUGACGGGUAGCCGGCCUGAGAGGGUGAACGGGCACAAGGGGACUGCGAGACGGACCAGAAUCCAACGGGAGGCAGUAGUGGAGAAUAUUGCACAAUGGGCGGAAGUGUGAUGUAGCAAUGCCGCGUGCGGGAUGACGGCUUUUGGGUGGUAAACAGCUUUCGACUGUGACGAAGAGUGAGUGACGGUAAUGGGUAAAGAAGCAACGGCUAACUACGUG
Molecule: ribosomal RNA, 468 nt
Filed under: uncultured bacterium
Lineage: Bacteria
Description: partial 16S ribosomal RNA
Rfam family: Bacterial small subunit ribosomal RNA
Source: RNAcentral